UACGUAGGUGGCAAGUGUUGUCCGGAUUUAUUGGGUUUAAAGGGUGCGUAGGCGGCCCUGUAAGUCAGUGGUGAAAUACUCUAGCUUAACUAGAGGGGUGCCAAUGAUACUGCAGGGCUUGAGUACAGAUGAGGUAGGCGGAAUUGACGGUGUAGAGGUGAAAUUCGUAGAUAUUGGGAAGAACACCGGUGGCGAAGGCGGCGACCUGGUCCGAUACUGACGCUGAGGCGCGAAAGCGUGGGGAGCAAACAGG
This 253-nucleotide ribosomal RNA is filed under the name uncultured bacterium. RNAcentral's name for it is "partial 16S ribosomal RNA". It matches the Rfam family "Bacterial small subunit ribosomal RNA", at positions 524 to 776 of the family's 1533-position model. The record is from RNAcentral.